This 275-nucleotide ribosomal RNA is filed under the name uncultured bacterium. RNAcentral describes it as "partial 16S ribosomal RNA". It matches the Rfam family "Bacterial small subunit ribosomal RNA", at positions 338 to 630 of the family's 1533-position model. The record is from RNAcentral.
CCUACGGGUGGCUGCAGUAACGAAUCUUCCGCAAUGGGCGAAAGCCUGACGGAGCAAUGCCGCGUGUGGGAUGAAGCGUCUCUGACGUGUAAACCACUGUCAGGGGGUGGAACCAAUGAUUACCCCCAGAGGAAGUGGCGACUAACUCUGUGCCAGCAGUCGCGGUAAUACAGAGGCCACGAGCGUUAGUCGGAAUCACUGGGCUUAAAGGGUGCGUAGGCCGACGUGUAAGCGUUCCGUGAAAUCCCGGAGCUCAACUCCGGAACAGCGGGGCG